AAGUCGUAACAAGGUUUCCGUAGGUGAACCUGCGGAAGGAUCAUUACAGAGCGUGAGGCUCAGUCGUGGCGUCAGCUGCGUGCUGGGCCGACCCUCCCACCCGUGUCGAUUUCUAUCUUGUUGCUUUGGCGGGCCGGGCUACGUCGUCGCUGCCCGUACGGACAUGCGUCGGCCGCCCACCGGUUUCGACUGGAGCGCGUCCGCCAAAGACCAACCAAAACUCAUGUUGUCUUUGUCGUCUCAGCUUUAUUAUUGAAUUGAUAACA
This 266-nucleotide unclassified non-coding RNA is filed under the name plant metagenome. RNAcentral's name for it is "partial contains small subunit ribosomal RNA and internal transcribed spacer 1". The stretch from base 1 to 46 matches the Rfam family "Eukaryotic small subunit ribosomal RNA", at positions 1786 to 1831 of the family's 1831-position model. The record is from RNAcentral.